RNAcentral lists this long non-coding RNA (2529 nucleotides) under Homo sapiens (human). RNAcentral's name for it is "HSALNT0393237". The record is from RNAcentral. Lineage: Eukaryota; Metazoa; Chordata; Mammalia; Primates; Hominidae.
AUGAGGGCCUAGGACAUGACCUACCCUACCGGAGACUUUAUAAACACUGUACACUUAGGCUGCAAUAAGUUUAUUAAAAAUAUUUUCUUUCUUUUGCAAUAAAUUAACCUUACCUUACUGUACCUUUUUAACUCUAUAAACCUUUUUUUUUUUUUCUGGUACCAGACCAUUCCAGGCAGGGAGAGCCACUGAGCUCACUCCAUGGGCUGCCCACAUGGGGUCUGGACCCACCUGCCCUCUUUUGCCUGGCAGGCAGCCUCUGGGCCAUCACAGGACACAUUGUGUGGUGAUCAGUGGCCCACCGCCUGCCCUUGUGGUGGGUGCAGUUCACAGGUUCUGCCCCAGGCCUGGCACCGUGGCCUUCCCAGCCUGGCCCAGGAUAGGGGACAUGAAUGAUCCUUGCCUGUGCUUCUUUGGACCAUGUGAGUUUGGACACUCACUGCAGAAGUCCCUCCAGGUCCCUUUUCAACUGAGUUGUGGGGGACUUGCUUAGUCCUCAUGCCCAGGGUCAGGGGAGGGGUGCAGAGUCUGCACCCCAAAUCCCCUAGGGCCUGAGGGAGGUAUCCCAGGUGACCUCUGUCCUCUCCAGUGACAUGAGUCCUCCCAGAUGGCCUCAGCCCUCUCAAGUGACAUGCUUCCAUGGUGACUCUGGCUCUUGCAGGAGGUGGGCUACUACAGGGACAUGAGCUGCCUAACUGCCAUCCUCCUCCUGUAUCUGCCAGAGGAAGACACCUUCUGGGCACUGGAUCAGCUGAUGGCUGAGGAGAGGCACUCCCUGCAGGGUAGGCGGACAGCUACCCCCAGGGCCUCACACAGCCAGGCCAUGGGACGGCCACCCUGCCUGGGCGAUCCUGACUUCCCGGCAAGGCACCUUCCUUGCUUUCCAGCUUGUUAGGAGCCUUCAGGACAUCCCUGCUGAGGGUCCCACAGGAGCCUAGAGCUGAACAGGGACCCUUUCACUUCAAGGCAGACACCUUUCAUCCCCAACAGCAGAGGGCGCUGCAGCCUCCCCCUGGCCACCCUGUGUGUCCCAGAGCCACAGCCCUCUAGCUCUGAGUUCAUGCAGGUGACCGUCACUUCCUCAAGAGUCCUGCUACCUCCCAGCUGGCCACACUCCCAGCUGCCCUCCCAGCCCACAGAUGGGCCAAUGAAGUCGAGAUGGCAGUGUCUGCCCAUCCCAUGUCCCCCAGCCUGACCCCAUGUCCAGGAGAGGCCAUGUAGCCCCUUGGCACCCACCCUGUUCCCUCCACUGGCCACUGCCUGCCGCAGCCCUGCCUCACAGCCUCAAAGGCAGGCCUGCCCUCCGGGCACCUCUACCCAGGAUGCUGCUGUGCAGUUCCUCUGGCUAGGGCCCACCUCCCUAGAGCUGAGGCCACAUGGUAGGGUCACCUAAUGGAAGGGAGGAAGGCCUCAGGGUCCGGGGUCCCCUGCCACUGCCCAGCUCUUCCAGCUGACAGCUCCACAUCUUGGGAGUGGGCUCUGAUGCAUGAUGGGUCAGGGGCUUCUCAGUUUUCUACAGCCCAAAUACUGCCCAGCUCCGGAGGCUCCUAUCCCACCAGGAGCAGGUAUAACACAAAUUUUUCCCAAAGAUCAUGUGGUACCUGCUGAGUGGACGACACCCUCAACUCUUUCCCAGAGGCCCAGGGUCCCAUGGGGCAGGGAAACAGGGAAAGAUGGAGCUCCUCGAGGGGCUGACAAGAGGCUGAGUCCCAGCCAGGGCCUCGCCCAAGAUGGGGAUUCUCCAUGGGUUUGGAGUUGGGUUUUCUUAUCCUGCCCUGGAGGAAGAGGCAGAGGUACUAGGAUGGGGGCUGAGCUCCAGCUGAGCAGGGUUAAGGGAAGUGUGUCCACCAGGCAUCUGUGCAUGGGGGAGUUGUUGGGGAAGCACUGGCCACUGCCCAGUGUUCUGCCCCAGGGCAGCUCACGGGGCCCUGAGCACCUAUGGUCCAGGAUUGAGGUUUGUUGAGUUGGCUCCUCUGGUGUUUCGUUGAUGGGGUAAGGAGGCAAAUGGAGAUUCCAGGCCAGGGACCUUCAUGUCCCACAGUGCCCAGCUCCCCCAGGAGGACCUGGAUCACCCCAAGCCCACAUGAAGCACAGGGAAGUUUCUGCAUGGCACAGAAGCCAGGCCCUCCCCAAAAGGGGGCAUCACAUGGCAGGGGCCAGGACUCAGGCCCACUGCUAUUUUCACAUUAUUAAUUUUAUAAUGUGAUAUGGUUUGGCUGUGUUGCCACCCAAAUCUCAUCUUGAACUGUAAUUUCCAUAAUCCUCAUGUGUCCUGGGAGGGACCCAGUGAGAGGUAACUGAAUCAUGGCAGCAGUUUCCCCCAUGCUGUUCUCAUGAUAGUGAGUUCUCAUGUGAUUUGAUGGUUUCAUAAGCAUCUAGCAUUUCCCUUGCUUGAGGUGAUGAAUGCCUCAUUUACCCUGAUGUGAUUAUCACACAUUGCAUGCCUGUGUCAAACUAUCUCAUGUACCCCAUAAAUAUAUACAGCUACUAUGUACUCAUAGAAAUUAAAAAUAAAAAUAAAUUUAAAAU